RNAcentral lists this ribosomal RNA (301 nucleotides) under uncultured bacterium. RNAcentral's name for it is "partial 16S ribosomal RNA". It matches the Rfam family "Bacterial small subunit ribosomal RNA", at positions 509 to 807 of the family's 1533-position model. The record is from RNAcentral.
CAGUAGCCGCGGGAAUACAGAGGGUGCAAGCGUUAAUUGGAAUUACUGGGCGUAAAGCGCGCGUAGGUGGUUUGUUAAGUUGGAUGUGAAAUCCCCGGGCUCAACCUGGGAACUGCAUCCAAAACUGGCAAGCUAGAGUAUGGUAGAGGGUGGUGGAAUUUCCUGUGUAGCGGUGAAAUGCGUAGAUAUAGGAAGGAACACCAGUGGCGAAGGCGACCACCUGGACUGAUACUGACACUGAGGUGCGAAAGCGUGGGGAGCAAACAGGAUUAGAUACCCCAGUAGUCCCUGUCUCUUAUAC